GUGGGGAAUAUUGGACAAUGGGCGCAAGUCUGAUCCAGCAAUGCCGCGUGGGUGAAGAAGGCCUUCGGGUUGUAAAGCCCUUUUGUACGGGAAGAAAUCAUUCGGGUUAAUACCCUGGGUGGAUGACGGUACCGUAAGAAUAAGCACCGGCUAACUUCGUGCCAGCAGCCGCGGUAAUACGAAGGGUGCAAGCGUUAAUCGGAAUUACUGGGCGUAAAGCGUGCGUAGGUGGUUCAGCAAGUUGAAGGUGAAAUCCCCGGGCUCAACCUGGGAACUGCCUCCAAAACUACUGAGCUAGAGUACGGUAGAGGGUAGUGGAAUUUCCUGUGUAGCGGUGAAAUGCGUAGAUAUAGGAAGGAACACCAGUGGCGAAGGCGGCCAUCUGGACCAGCACUGACACUGAGGCACGAAAGCGUGGGGAGCAAACAGGAUUAGAUACCCGAGUAGUCC
Molecule: ribosomal RNA, 450 nt
Filed under: uncultured bacterium
Lineage: Bacteria
Description: partial 16S ribosomal RNA
Rfam family: Bacterial small subunit ribosomal RNA
Source: RNAcentral